RNAcentral lists this ribosomal RNA (538 nucleotides) under uncultured bacterium. RNAcentral's name for it is "partial 16S ribosomal RNA". It matches the Rfam family "Bacterial small subunit ribosomal RNA", at positions 355 to 909 of the family's 1533-position model. The record is from RNAcentral.
UGGGGAAUAUUGCACAAUGGGCGAAAGCCUGAUGCAGCAACGCCGCGUGAGCGAUGAAGGCCUUCGGGUUGUAAAGCUCUGUCUUUUGGGACGAUAAUGACGGUACCAAAGGAGGAAGCCACGGCUAACUACGUGCCAGCAGCCGCGGUAAUACGUAGGUGGCAAGCGUUGUCCGGAUUUACUGGGCGUAAAGGAUGCGUAGGCGGAUUUUUAAGUGAGAUGUGAAAACCCUAAGCUUAACUUGGGGACUGCAUUUCAUACUGGAAAUCUAGAGUGCGGGAGAGGAGAAUGGAAUUCCUAGUGUAGCGGUGAAAUGCGUAGAGAUUAGGAAGAACACCAGUGGCGAAGGCGAUUCUCUGGACCGUAACUGACGCUGAGGCAUGAAAGCGUGGGUAGCAAACAGGAUUAGAUACCCUGGUAGUCCACGCCGUAAACGAUGAGUACUAGGUGUAGGAGGUAUCGACCCCUUCUGUGCCGCAGUUAACACAAUAAGUACUCCGCCUGGGAAGUACGAUCGCAAGAUUAAAACUCAAAGGAA